CGGGAUCCGUCCCGGUGAAAAGGAAUGUAGCUCAGCAAUGAGCCGAACCUUAGG
This 54-nucleotide non-coding RNA is filed under the name unclassified sequences. The record is from Rfam.